CGCCCGCCGGCCGCGGCCCCGCUGCCGCUCGGAGCCCGCGGCCCUCACGGCCCUGCCUCGGCCCGUCUUGGAGCGCUGUUUGCUGCGUUCUGGGAGCCCCCGGGGUUUCGCGGUGCUGUUGUGCGGCCUUUUGGAGCCGUUUUCAGCAUCACUACCGCAUUAAAAGUCGAUUCAAUUAACCCUUAAGGGCCUGUCAGUUGCUUGUUUUCUAGUGGCUGCUUCCCCACAGCUGUGUUUGGUUUGAUUGGAGCAUGGAGCCCAUCUCCCUGCCAGAACCGGGGAUUCCUGCAGGAAGCAGCUCAUCCGUGCCACAGAAAAAAUUCCGUGUCCUGGUGGGAGUGACUGGAAGCGUGGCUGCCCUGAAGCUGCCCCUGCUCAUCGCAGAGUUGCUGAAAAUCCCUGGGCUUGAGGUGAAGGUGGUCACUACUGAGAGAGCAAAACAUUUCUACAAUGCCCAGGAGAUUCCUGUGACCCUCUAUGGUGAUGAAGAGGAGUGGCAGCUGUGGAAGGGCCGCUCGGACCCCGUCCUGCACAUCGAGCUCCGGCGCUGGGCUGACCUCAUGGUGGUGGCACCUCUGGACGCCAACACGCUGGCAAAGGUCGCCAAUGGCAUCUGUGACAACCUGCUGACUUGUGUCAUCCGUGCGUGGGACCUGAGCAAACCCCUGCUCUUCUGCCCGGCCAUGAACACGGCCAUGUGGGAGCAUCCCAUCACAGCUCGGCACGUGGAGCAGCUGAAGGGCUUUGGCUACACGGAGAUCCCCUGUGUGGUGAAGAAACUCGUGUGUGGAGAUGAAGGCACUGAAAAUUGCUGUGUGGGAAGAAAGGUGUCUGAAGGUGAUGAAUGACUUUGCUAUGUUUGCCAAGCAGAUGUUUUCCUUUGAUGGGCACCAAAACACCUGCGCUUGCUCUUCCUGGCUGGAAGAGUGAAAUUCCCUAAAACUGCUCACAAAUACAGGCCAAAUUGGUAGUUUCAGGAGGAAAAGAGGAAGGCUGGAGGUGCCGUUGGAGAGGAGGGGAUAGGCCAGGCUCAACCAUCUGAGCUGGUUCUUCAAGGCAUUCCAGCCCCAGCAGCAUCCCAUGGUGAGAAGUCCCCUGGAUGAACGUGCAGCCUUAGCUCACCUCUGCCAGGGCAGGGACCUGGCACUGGAGCAUCACCAGUAAUUUUCCACCCGUCUCCACGCUGUGGAAAUACACCCAGGCAUGGAAAAAGCCUAGAAGGGAAUAAAGAAGACACUUGGCCAGUAGAACUUGGCCGGCUCCCAGCUCAAGGAACAGCUUCAGGUUCAUCCCCAGCUCUCCGGCGCUUGGCAGGCUCAGCUGCCUCAGCUCCUACAAAUGGGACAGGCCGGCAGCAUCCCUGCCAAAACCCUGGGUGCUCCUGCUCCAACAGCUCCCUGUGCCCACGGGUUUGCUGCAAGACAAAAAGGGGGGAAAGGGGCUUUUUUGUGGAGUUCGGUUGGGAUUUUUUUUUCCUUCAUUCUCACUGUGGAGAAAAGGAGAAGGAAAAACUUGGCACGGAGGGCGGAGCGAGGGGGAGGUUGGGAGCAGCGGGGAUGUGGAGGUGGGAGGCGAGCUGUCCCUUUAUGAGGCUCUAAUGGCUCCAGCCAAAACCCACAUUAGCCCGAUGAGUGAAAGGAGGUUUUUACGAGUGCAAUGAGAUGUCCCAGCCUGCCGGGGCGGUGAUUGCCAGCCCGUGGCCUCGGGCUCUGCGGGGAGCUGCUGGUGCUCCUGCUGCAAUUUGGCUCCGCUCAGCAAGAGGGUCCAGCCUGUUUCCCAAGCUGGCGGUGCUAAUCCGUCUUACCUCAGUGGUGCAGCAAUAACCCCCAGAGCCAUCACCACCUCCCACCACCGGCGGCUGGAGAGCACAAGAUGUUCCCAGACAAGGCUCCUCACACCCUGUGCAGCCCCGGCAAACAAGGGCGGCUUCCCAAAUCCCCCGAGCAUCCUUCCCCCAGCAGCUUUCCAUGGAAAACACCCUCGAAGAGUCGCUGUCCCCAGCCCACCUCCUCAAAAACUCAGGUUCCCGUGCAAAGGGUGGUGAAACAGGCUGGGAAAGGGGCACCAAGGGCAGGUGUGACCAAGGGCUGUAACAUCCUGAUGAGUCCAGAGGAGAUAAGUGAUGAGAGGGUGAUGACUCAGUGCCUCUUGUGCAAAACCCAGGACCAUCCAAUGCAUCCAGCAUGUCCGAAGGAGAUGUUUCUCCAUAGGAUUUCUCCAGAUGCAGGAGGAUGAGGGCGGCUUCAAAAAGCAAUUCCUGGAAGAAGAAGCCACCCAGGACACAAAGACCAUCACCAGCUCACUCUGCUGGGUGUAGAAGCUCACUGAGGUCUGAUGUUUUCCCUGGGUCCUCUGCUUCAGCCGGUCGUUGUGGAGGAAGAAAACCCAUCAGUGAGGUGGUGCUCCCACAUCCAAGGCCAGGGUAGCAGUUAAUUCCUGGGGACAGGCUGGCCCAGGGUUGGCCAAGCUCCAGGGUCAGGACUGGCAGGUCUGGGCAGGAUCAGGAGUAGGAGGGAGUUAUUUGGUGGAGGUGGACAUGAAGGAAGCAAGAUAUCCCCAUUCCCAAGGUGGCUGAAGGGAGCUGGAGUCACCAGGAUUUAAUCCCAUGGGAAGAAUGAGUCAGUAGGAGCCAGUCACAGGGGUGACCACAAGGAUCUGUUAUCACCAGGAUCUGUUAUCGGUGGAAAAUCUGUCUCAUGAGGGCAUCAAAGCAGCUCCUUGUGAGCCAAAAGGAAGGGGGAAGGGGAGGAAAGGAGGACAAAGAUCCUCUGUGCUGGGCAAGGAGAGCUCUGUGGCCUCCAGCCCCUCUGGGAUGGUGCAGGAGGGGGUUCAAAGCCCCAUGUGCUUCCAUUUGAGAGCUGCUUCAGCCCAUCCUGACAGCCCGAGCUGGGAGGGGAAGGUCUUGCUCUCAGCACCGCGGAGCCAGAGCUGGGCUGAGUGCGUGUUAUUCACCUUGAAACUAUGUGAGUAAACAGAGAAGGCUCCUCUUCCUGGUCCCACCUCAGCAAUCAGGCUGCAGACCGGAGCAGACGAGCCCGAAUCCACCCUGGCAGAUUACAGGGAUGCUCUGCUCUCUCCUCUGCUGAGUCCUCGAGCCAAGCCACCCAGGAGAGGAGGACGGUGAAGCUCCACUUGGCCUCCUGGGCCAUCCCCUCCUAUGUGGAGCUUCUUGGAGAUGUCCCACCAGGAGGAAAACAUCCCUUUCUCACCACUUCUGGUGUUUUUAUAACCUGUAUCACCAUUUUUUGUUGCUGAGCAGCAGCAACACUCAUGGCUCACUCUGACAUGGGGGAGUGGAGCCAGCUGGGAAGAGCCCAGUUGAGAGAGCCAGCGCCAGCUGGGAGGAAGAAGAGAUGGUCCCGCAGGAGAGGGACCUCUGUGCUGGCACAGCAAAAGCCACUGAGCUCCAGGCAUUUGGUGGCCACUACUGCAGCCAUGAGUCCCACUGGAGCCUGGUGCCCUCCACCUUGGUCCUUGGGCUUCCCACAGGAGCUUGGCUCUUCUCUGUGGAAAAGCUUCAUCCAUCUUGGUGUCCUCUUCCCCAUCAGUGCCACACGCUGAGUGUUCCUAGAGGAAGAGAAGACCCUGGACCAUCCUAGAGGGAAGAGAGCAGCUCCAGAGCAGGGCUGGAGCCAGCCCAGAGCCAGGGAGCCUUGCAGAAGACUGAAGAGUUUCCAGGAUUGACAGUGGUUUCUGCAGGCAGGAGAGGGAAUGAAAUGG
Molecule: RNA transcript, 3720 nt
Organism: Corvus hawaiiensis (hawaiian crow)
Lineage: Eukaryota; Metazoa; Chordata; Aves; Passeriformes; Corvidae
Gene: PPCDC
Gene name: phosphopantothenoylcysteine decarboxylase
Exons: 7
Source: RefSeq, a predicted model, not a curated record